This 423-nucleotide long non-coding RNA is filed under the name Sorghum bicolor (sorghum). RNAcentral's name for it is "long non-coding RNA (SBIC_LNC013029)". The record is from RNAcentral. Lineage: Eukaryota; Viridiplantae; Streptophyta; Magnoliopsida; Poales; Poaceae.
AGUAGUAUGGGAUCACAAAGGUGGAAGGACUAAACAUGUUGAAUUGAUUGGGUUGGUUAAUCUAGAGUUGUAAAUCAUGAAUGUUUGUCUCUUUUAUUCUUGUGAACGCCAGAACCAAGGAGAAGCUUAUAAAAGUGAUAGACAAGUACCUUAAGAUAUUACCUUACUUAAAGAGUGAUGGUACAGUAUGACCUUGUGGAAGCUUUCCUUUCUUAGCGGCUGUGCAUCGUGUUUGUAGCACCCUCCAUGGAUCAUCUCUUGUGAGCUAUGCCUUCCUUGUGUAAAUUGUUAACCUUCAUGUGUCUCUCUCUUUGUCUCCAAUGUGGGUGUAUCUCAGGACUUCCAGGUCAAUAAUGAAAGUUUUCCUGCAGGGGUUAGUCCAACAAAAUAUCCAAUAUCUACUAUAGCAUACUAUCGGCUCAA